RNAcentral lists this transfer RNA (73 nucleotides) under Camelus bactrianus (Bactrian camel). It matches the Rfam family "tRNA". Rfam says of the family: Transfer RNA (tRNA) molecules are approximately 80 nucleotides in length. Their secondary structure includes four short double-helical elements and three loops (D, anti-codon, and T loops). Lineage: Eukaryota; Metazoa; Chordata; Mammalia; Artiodactyla; Camelidae. RNAcentral also lists the same sequence under 1 other name. The record is from Rfam by way of RNAcentral.
GAGGGUGUAGCUCAAGCGGUAGAGCACAUGCUUAGCAUGCAUGAGGUCCUGGGUUCAAUCCCCAGCAUCUCCU